This 216-nucleotide ribosomal RNA is filed under the name Glomeromycotina sp. RNAcentral's name for it is "partial small subunit ribosomal RNA". The stretch from base 40 to 216 matches the Rfam family "Eukaryotic small subunit ribosomal RNA", at positions 686 to 864 of the family's 1831-position model. The record is from RNAcentral. Lineage: Eukaryota; Fungi; Glomeromycota.
GGGUCAGUAGGUUGGUCGUGCCACCGGUACGUACUGGUCUCACUGAUUCCUCCUUCCUGAAGAACCGUAAUGCCAUUAAUUUGGUGUUGCGGGGAAACAGGACUGUUACUUUGAAAAAAUUGGAGUGUUUAAAGCAAGCUAACGCUUGAAUACAUUAGCAUGGAAUAAUGAAAUAGGACGAUCGAUCAUAUUUUGUUGGUUUCUAGGAUUGACGUA